GAUGAACGCUGGCGGCGUGCCUAAUACAUGCAAGUCGAGCGAACAGACGAGGAGCUUGCUCCUCUGACGUUAGCGGCGGACGGGUGAGUAACACGUGGAUAACCUACCUAUAAGACUGGGAUAACUUCGGGAAACCGGAGCUAAUACCGGAUAAUAUAUUGAACCGCAUGGUUCAAUAGUGAAAGACGGUUUUGCUGUCACUUAUAGAUGGAUCCGCGCCGCAUUAGCUAGUUGGUAAGGUAACGGCUUACCAAGGCGACGAUGCGUAGCCGACCUGAGAGGGUGAUCGGCCACACUGGAACUGAGACACGGUCCAGACUCCUACGGGAGGCAACAGUAGGGAAUCUUCCGCAAUGGGCGAAAGCCUGACGGAGCAACGCCGCGUGAGUGAUGAAGGUCUUGGGAUCGUAAAACUCUGUUAUUAGGGAAGAACAAAUGUGUAAGUAACUAUGCACGUCUUGACGGUACCUAAUCAGAAAGCCACGGCUAACUACGUG
This 497-nucleotide ribosomal RNA is filed under the name uncultured bacterium. RNAcentral's name for it is "partial 16S ribosomal RNA". It matches the Rfam family "Bacterial small subunit ribosomal RNA", at positions 28 to 507 of the family's 1533-position model. The record is from RNAcentral.